AGAUAACUAGAAGAGACCAGAGGGGAGGAAAGACGGGAGAGGCAACCCAGCUUCCAUAAUCGCCUUCGAGAGGUGUAGAUUCCGGUAAAGCAGCGGUGAGAGCGGUCCCUCCGACCCGGGUCGGGGGAAGAACCCGGCGGGUAAAGGGCAGAGGGUGCUAGUGACCGGGGGACAAUCCCAAAAGGGGAAAGGAAUUUGAAAAAGAAAAAGGAGUGUCAGCGGUUUUAGGCCAAUAGAAGGUAAAACCGGGUAGAAAAGUCAAACAAUGGGACUUUAGACUGCUGGGCAAGGACCUUUCUCAAAGACAGUGUC
This 312-nucleotide long non-coding RNA is filed under the name Brassica napus (rape). Its description in RNAcentral is "long non-coding RNA (BNAP_LNC012578)". The record is from RNAcentral. Lineage: Eukaryota; Viridiplantae; Streptophyta; Magnoliopsida; Brassicales; Brassicaceae.